AAGUGGACAGUUUGAUUUCACAGAAGUGUGAUUGACUUGGAGUUACAUUGUGUUGUUUAAGUGUUCCCUUUUAUUUUUUUGAGCAGUGUAUAUAAUUACUUCCGCUAGGAGAGCUGUGACGUCAAUGAAGUGAGUUAGUGAGAUAUUUAACAUUUAUUCUUCAUUAUGGAGAAUGACUAGUUCUGAAAACGAACGUUUCUCCGUCUCAUCAUUUUACCCUAUUAAUUCAGGUAUGUAAUGUGCAAAAUGCAAUUUGACUCAAAAUAUUGAGGUAACCAGGUGAAUUACAUAGUCCAUGAGUUUGAUGAUGUUUGAAGGCAGUUUUAACUGAGUGAAAAACUGGUUGGUAUUUUCCCCAUUGUAAGUAAGUUAAUGGAGUUAGGCUUUGUUGCUAAUGGUUUACGAGAACGGAUUAACAUGGCAUCCAAACUUUCUGUACUUUUUUUCCUUCAACGUUUUAGAUCCAAUUUGUUUUAUUUUCUAUGAACAAAGGCUCAGUUUACUUUAGGCAAUAUAUGUAAACGUGAUGUCACGAUAAAAUGUGUUAGUGUUAAUAUUUGUACGAAAAUAGCGUUUAACAGUUCGCUAACUUGAUGCUAACCAAAUUUAGAUUGGCUAAGCGCUGUAGUAGUUAGCUCUAGCCUAGUUGGUUUUAGUCUGUCAUCUUAAUGUAAUGGUUGUAGCAUUGUUUUGCAUAGGCGUCCAGUAAUUUAGAUUUUUUUCGAAAUUGACACUGAUAGUAUAGUGAGUUAUAUAUAAUGUGAAUGUGUAGAUGUAUGGUGACUCCACGUUUGGAAGAACGGACCAACGGGACUGCCAUAGGCAAGUCCUUUGACGGGUACCAGGAAUGGUGGGAGGACAAUCUGAAGGUAAUUAUCUUUGCACACAACACGGCAGUGUCCAGGCCUCCAGAGUAUUCACUCUAUCGCCUGCUAUAUGGAGGGGAACCACAGCAGUUAACUGACGUAAACAGUGCAAUUGUAUAUAACAUUAUUGUAUAUACUGUAGUAUAAUUUUUUUUGAUUGACUUAGUGUUUUUCUUUUGCUGUUUUUGUAUAACGUACUUUGAGGUCACUGGUACACCACCUGAUGUGGUGGAAGUUGUCAAACCAGAUCAGAACUCAUUCGAAGACCACCUUCAGGCACGGACUGAGAAGGAUGUGGAGGUUUUUGACCAGGUGAGACUGAACAUGGAAAGGGCGCAUGAGAAGGAGGAGAUCCACCUGAGAAGAAUCAAGGGGACCAAGUGCUUUGACUGGGCGAAUGACUUGGCUUGGAAGAAGGAUGAAAGGAAGGAGAGACCCGGGAAAGCUUGGUGCUAUUUCGCUUCUAGCUGGGGUCAACAUCCGUUAAGGGACCACCCCUUACCAACCCCACUGACAUCAAAGAUUAGACGGGACCUAGGUGUUCUGCCUAACACCCAGACAUGGAUCCACCUGAUGUCCUCCAUUACCAACCACCUUCCAACUUUUCAUUACCUCAGUUAUUGUCAUGUUGUCAUUGUCUGCUAAGAAUAAGCAAGAAAACUAUCAUACUGGGCACGUAAUGUGAGCUGCACAGAUCAGCUAAAAACAGUAGCACUGCAAACACUCAGAACAAAGAGGGCAGCAGUGCCUGGACUUUGCAGUUUCCCUCUUUCUAGUCCACUACCUAUGAAUGCCAUGUGAGUGUACAAAAAAAUCUGAAAGUAAAUUGACACAAGUACCAAAACAAUGGUUAUGUAUUUAAAUCUGAAAUAUUGCUAGAUUGGUUUUCACAGAUGUUUCAUAAGGUGUUUGUUAUUGUAAAUUGUAACGUAUCCCUUGAUGAUAUUUGUUAGUUCAACAUUAUUAAUUGUAUGAGACAUACAAUUAAUAUAUAUUCAACCACAAGGGUGCACUAAUGAGCUAUGAUUUUUUUUAAAUCAUAAUUGGGGACUAAAAUGAUUUCAGUGUAGUUAAGGGAAUGCCUGUUUAAAAUGAAAACAUGCCAGCCAGACAAGCCAGUGUAUGGAUAAAAUGUAUUUGCAUAUG
Long non-coding RNA from Salvelinus namaycush (lake trout), 2012 nucleotides. RefSeq lists it as uncharacterized. The transcript is spliced from 4 exons. The record is from RefSeq and is a predicted model, not a curated record. Lineage: Eukaryota; Metazoa; Chordata; Actinopteri; Salmoniformes; Salmonidae.